UACGUAGGUGGCGAGCGUUAUCCGGAAUGAUUGGGCGUAAAGGGUGCGCAGGCGGUCCUGCAAGUCUGGAGUGAAACGUAUGAGCUCAACUCAUGCAUGGCUCUGGAAACUGGAGGACUGGAGAGCAGGAGGGGGCGGUGGAACUCUAUGUGUAGCGGUAAAAUGCGUAGAUAUAUGGAAGAACACCAGUGGCGAAGGCGGCUUUCUGGACUGAAACUGACGCUGAGGCACGAAAGCGUGGGGAGCAAAUAGG
Molecule: ribosomal RNA, 253 nt
Filed under: uncultured Allobaculum sp.
Lineage: Bacteria; Bacillati; Bacillota; Erysipelotrichia; Erysipelotrichales; Erysipelotrichaceae
Description: partial 16S ribosomal RNA
Rfam family: Bacterial small subunit ribosomal RNA
Source: RNAcentral